Phragmites australis (common reed) is the source of this 764-nucleotide long non-coding RNA. RefSeq lists it as uncharacterized. The record is from RefSeq and is a predicted model, not a curated record. The transcript has 2 exons. Lineage: Eukaryota; Viridiplantae; Streptophyta; Magnoliopsida; Poales; Poaceae.
GCUGCGGAGAAGGGCGAAGACGACGAUGGGAGCAGAAAUGGCGCGGGGGAAGGUGGGACGGAAGAAUCGUGGGCGUCCUAUCCAUCUAGAAUCCCGCUUAGCUCGUCGUCUCUGCAUCCGCUCCUAUCUAGAAUUCUGCAAGUGUUCUCCGAGUCGAACCUACUUCAUUCUGCUCCUGUCAACCCUACUUUGCAGCAAAGGUUUGGAAGAGUUGACCAUAAAUUCUCUCAUCAGAGAACUAAAUUAUGUCAUCAAUUGGAAUAAUUCAUUGAAAGAAAAAUGCUUCAGGAUACAUUUUCCACUAAACUAUCACAUAGUUUGUAAAGGUAAAUUGGUGAUGAUAUGAUUGCUCAGGGGAAUGGUUAAGUAGAUCAAGUGUGCUACAGUGAUGCUAAAGAAGAAAUACUUGUACUAAAUUCCAAGGAUUGUAAAUGUUCUUUUAGAGGAACUACGGCAGACUUUGACGCCGACCUGAACGUUGUAUUAAGUAUGUAGGUUCAUCAUACAGGAUUUUGAUUCAAGGGGUAGAAGGAGAGAAAGCACAGAUCACUCUAUUACAUUCGAUAAACGCUCGCUCCGCGCACGAAGAAUUGCCUGUUCAGUCGGAUCGCGAAAGCGAUGAAACCACAACUGGCGGUCAGCAGCAGCACAAGGAUUGUAAAUGUAGAAAGUUCACUUCUAAAUAUUAACCACCGUUGGAAAUAGUAUAUUACUUUGUUCAUUAGUUUCACGUGAAUUACACAAUGCCAUAUGGUAUAGAUACA